UACAGAGGGGGCAAGCGUUAUUCGGAAUUAUUGGGCGUAAAGGGCUCGUAGGCGGCCAACUAAGUCAUACGUGAAAUCCCUCAGCUUAACUGGGGAACUGCGUGUGAUACUGGAUGGCUUGGAUUUGGGAGAGGGAUGCGGAAUUCCAGGUGUAGCGGUGAAAUGCGUAGAUAUCUGGAGGAACACCGGUGGCGAAGGCGGCAUCCUGGACCAAUAUUGACGCUGAGGAGCGAAAGCCAGGGGAGCAAACGGG
This 253-nucleotide ribosomal RNA is filed under the name uncultured bacterium. RNAcentral's name for it is "partial 16S ribosomal RNA". It matches the Rfam family "Bacterial small subunit ribosomal RNA", at positions 524 to 776 of the family's 1533-position model. The record is from RNAcentral.